CGCCGGCCUUGUCCUCAGUGUGGCCGGAAGACGACUCGGGGCUGCUGCUGCUCUCGGGGCGCCGCCGCCGCUCUUUCUCCUCUGCUGCCGCCGCCGUCUCCCGGCAGCCGCCGCCGCCGCCGCUGUCCGAACUUGAAGUUGCCGGCGCGCCCGUUGCAGCCGCCGCCGCCGCCGCGGAGGUCGCCGUGGCCGCCGGGGGCCCCUUCUCGGCGCUCUUGUCCCCGGGGUAGUCGGAGGAGGCGAGGUUUUCCGGGGUGCCGUAGGCUGUCUCGAAAAACUGGUCGAAAGCCUGUGGCAGGACGCCGUUCCUGCCCACGGUGCUAUAGAAAUUGGACGAGACUGCGGGGGUGGGGUGGUGGUAGACGUUGGCCGAGCUCUUGGCCAGCACGUCGCCAGGCACGCCGGCCGCGCUGGGCGCCUGCAGGCAGUCUCUGUGCACGAGCUCCUCCGCGGAGUAGCAGUGGGCCAGAUUGCCGCGGGGGUGCCAUUUAGUGGCGGGCUCAAUGGCGUACUCUCUGAAGGUCACUUCGCGCACGGGUUGGACCUGGGGCAGGUUGGAGGAGUAGGAGUAUGUCAUUGGGCGCGAAGACGGGGUCUGGGGCAGAAAAGAAGGGAGGCUGGAGAAAUCUGGACCCGAGACGUAGUAAGUACAACUUGGCAAAUACAUGUUAGAGGAGCAGGGACCACGCUCAUCAAAAUCCAUUAUUGGGCUACCUUGGGCUCUCCGCAGUAGCCGAGCUUAACAUGAUUCUCCACUGCAGCUGCCUCUUUGAAGCGGAUCCGUGAAGUAGAAAUUUGGAGACCCACCUCAGGGGAAGCAACAGAUCGUCACUCGGUGUUCUCACCGAAAGCACGUAAUCGCCGGUGUAACUCAUGUUGGCUGGGGGGCCUCCCGGCGCGCGCGGAGAGGCUGGGGUGCGCCCCCAUGCAGCAUGCUUGUGCUCAAUUGCAGGGUCCUCGUUCUCGAGUGUGCAGAGGGCGGUGAGAGCUCAACUCUCGUCCCCACCUCCCACCCGCAGCUCCCCGGACUUGCUCUGGGAAGCGCCUCUGCCUCCGACCCUAGCCGGAACCCCUUCGGGGCCAGAGUUUGAAGCCGUGGAUGUGCCUGCCUGGUGGCUUGUCCGAUUUGCACGGUGACUUGAUUACACUCUCUCAUUCAUGGUCACUUCCGAAGCGCUUUAGUGCCUUCCGUCCCUAAACCGCCAACAGCCAGAACGGCUUCUCCCCGCGUGACUCGGCAGAGACAGAGGCACAGGGGCUGCCCUGCUGCUCACCGGUCCACCCAUCUGCCUGGUCUUCUGGAGCUGAGGACUCGGGAAACCAUGCAAUUGAGGCAAGCCUUGGGCUGCUUUAGAGGCGCUGACAUCCGAGGAGACUUCUCCUGGGAUUGAAGGAGCAAUGUUUGGAGGAAGCGAAAGAAAGGAGAGGACACAGAGCACAGAGCAGCCAGGCAGAGCCAGGAGCUGAGAAGGGCCCAGACCUGAGGCCUCCCAACAACUCUCUUCUUGGAAGGAUCUGGGAUGUUGCUGAAGGAAAAUAAAAAAAUAUGUAAAAAGAUAACCUUUUGUUUUUCCCUCUCCAGGAAAUAGCCAAAGUUAUUUACAUAUCUUGGGGAGAUUUAGAGUAUAAACUCUAAGAUCUUUGGUAUUUAAGUGUCAACAUCGAUUUAUUUAUUUAUUGCUGAGCUGACUGUAACUGACUCAAUAACAAAUCUAAUCGUGUAUUGCACUGGAAAAGAAAUAUUCUUAUUAUGUAUUUUCUCCAAAUAAUGGCCUACCAUUGCAUUUGAAUACCUGCUGUAAAUAUCAAUAAUAUGAAGUAAUUACUCUGUAGUCGAGUAAACUAAUUUAUUAGCAUUAAUGUUUAUGUGGCUCUCCACCUCCCCCCACCACCACCUUUACAAGGAUUGCUUAUCACAAAUCAAGCUACUUGGACACAUUGGUUUAAUGAACUCUUUAUUCAAGAUUUGCUACAAGAAUUUUCAUGUCCUUUGAAUCCCUGAGAACUGAACUUGAAAUUAUUUGUGCAUCUUCAGCUUGACAUAUUUGUCCACUGUGGCUUGUCCAGAGGGCAGCAGUGCUGUGAGUGAGAAGGUCCAGUGGGAAGGAAGGUUAUUGGAGAAGAGUAGCCUCAGACCUCCUAAAGCUGGGAAGCACAUUUACAGAAUUGCCCUGCAGCGAAAAAACUUCUAUUUCCAGCAGUGACCAACAAGGCAAAAUGUUUGUUUCUCCACAGCAUCUCUUUUUUAGAGACAGAAUAUAAAAGACAGAAGGAGAGGUUUCAAACAGCGGUAUUCGAGCUGUUCCCUGGCUUGAUUUUGGCUAUCCCAAGCUCUCUCUCUGCAGCCCACCCAGUCCACGCCACCCCUACCUUCGAACAAAAGGAAUGCAUGAAGGGUUUCAGUGACUUUGCCAUAACAAAGGCGCCACCAUUGCGGGGCUCGCCCCGCCCCUGGGUGAAGGCAAACAAAUUCUUGCACUUGUAUUAGGGCUUUUAAGACCAUAAUUGAACCCGGGGGCGUCUAGGAAAACCGAAAACAGUUCUAGACAGACCUGCGGUUUUAUAGCAGUUUUGGCAGUCAACUUCAGCUUGUGCCUGAGCAGACGGGGUUGUGGUGGCCCGCCAGCGGGGGAUGCCAGGCCACCUCCCCCAGCGGCACGCAGCCCCUCUCUUAAUUAGAUCGGUUUUCCCCUGGUGUCCGGGAGAGCGGUCCCGGCAGAAAGGUCGGUAUGGGGGUGUGCGCUGUUCCGCAUAACCACUGCCUCCCAUGUCCUCCUCGAGGGCCGAACCGAGAGGGUGCUGGCAGGGCUGGAUCCCACGGGUGUCCGCAGGAGACAAAGGCGAAUUCCGGAGAAAAGGCUGGGGCUGAGAAAGGCGCUCCGGGAGCGGCUGGCAGGGCAAUUCGGCAGGCUGCACCGAAGCCGAGUGCCCGGAGGGACUUGCCGCCCGGAAGGGGGUGUGUGGGGGCGCUGCCGUGAAGAUGGAUGAGGGAAAAGGUUUUUGAUAUCAGCAGAAGGGAAAACGCCUGGAGUGGCCGAACACUUUUAGUUGCCCAGCAGGAAUAGGAGACGGGUACUCAGCUCCCCAAGGCUGCGCAAUAUCCCAGCUUUGCCCGCUCCUGCCCUCGUGUUCGGAAUAUGCUGGCGGUGUGAAUGUGAAGGUUUCUCCAGGCAGGCGGCUGGGGCGAGGGGUGGGCGCAGCUCUGAGGAUCAGACCAAAUCUAGGGGAAAAAGGGGAGGCAGACCUUCGGGUCCUUGGUUUUGACUUUGCUCUGAGCCUAUGAUUGACUCUUCCGCUUUGCAGGAGGUCCAACAGCCGAGCUUAGCCCACCGGGCUCUGGGAAAGACCCGACUGAGGCUAAAGCCGCCCCGGAAGGCCAAGUCCGAGUUCCAUUUCUUGAAGAGGCCGGCGCGCGUAAGGCUGUGACAUUGGCCCUGGCGACUGGCUUCCCAGGAGCUGUUCUUUCUCAGGAGCUCCACAGCGCGGGCCAUCUCCAGAAAACUGUCUUCAGAGUGUAUUUCCUUUUAUCGUCAACCCAGAGCCCCACCGCGGCUAAUGCAAGAGGCCAAAAAAUGUUUGGAGGAAGAAAAACAAAGGCAGGAAGUGGCGGCGGCCUGACGGUGCGUGUGUGUCUGCAGAGAAGGGAGGGAGCCGGCUCAGUCUCUUCUUGUUUUUCCAAACUUCAAGGUCCAGGCAGCCCUCUGCAGGGCCGGGCCCCAUUGCUCCCCGCGCGGCAUUGGAGGUGGCCGCCCGGAGAGGAGAAGGCCAACGCCUGCGCCAGGCUUGUCAGGCGGAAACGGCUAACAAGGAGAUUUGGUCAGCAAAACAGACCCAGCCUUUCCGAGGCUUCGUCUGACUUGGCCCGAAAGGUUGGGGAGGGGGGGCUUGCGCAGAGCCUCAGGGACCCUCCUCUCUGGGGACUACCAUCCCUGAGCCUUACGCUUCUUUCCACAGCCUUUGCAGGCGGAAUAUCGGAAUAAAGUGGGUCCAGGCGCCUCUGCCGCCUCCGCUUCUUCUUGCAGCCUGAAUGGUCCGGGAGGCAGCGGGAGGGCGCCGGCGGGCAGUGCCCAGGCGGGGUCGCCUCGAGGCCGUCGGUGAGCACCGGGCAAUGCGAGGCCUUGUUACCGAGGUUGUUGUGCUGGGGGCGUUUCCAGCACAGUCAUUCAAGGGACGUGAGCUGCAAGGAUCGUCACUUGACAGGCGGCUUAACACCCUCUCACUCCAAGGGAGGAUACAGCUGGGUGGCCGGGAGCACCUCCACACUCCAGGCUUCCCAGCUCCAACUGGCAAAGCUGCUGGGCCACCCUCUUCUCUCCCUGGGGCUGGCUUGGGAGGCAGCAGCUGCUCCUUGUCCCAGAAAUCUGAGAAUUCGAAGUCCCCAGUACUUGCACAUGCAGCCCUUUAAAUGCCCAGCAUUUGUCCACAGUCUCAAUGUCAAUGCCAAGCUGCCCCAGUCACCACUGUCCUUCUCAAGGGGGUCCUGUCCCUCUACAGUUCCUGAUCCUGCUCCUGUCCCCCCUACAGUUCCUGUCUCCUGCCCUGCCUCCUUCCAGCCAUUCUCACCUGCUGGGACCUCCUGUCUCUUCCCUACCUCUUUUGAUGCCUCUGCUAGACUGAGCAACAGCUGAGGUGCCACUGGAGGGCAUCCAAUACUCAGGCGCAGAGAAGAGGGGCUGUUAGGUCCCUGACUCUCCCCCAACUUCGGGCUUCCACCAGAGCCUGAACUGAGUCUCCCACCUCCUUCUUAGGAAUACUCCACCUCAAGGCCCCACCAAGUCUGGCUUAUCUCCCUUCCUCUCCCCUCCCUUCUCUACCCUCCUUUCUUCCCCAACACUUCCUCCUUCUCUUCUGCGGACCCAGCUGCUGCUUUUCUAGGCUGGGCAACCCAGAUGGGAUAGGCCUGGGAGGGGUCAGGACCCACUUGACAGACUGAAUCUCACUCCCAGAUGGCUACAGUUAAGUUUCUCUCUUGGUGGAUUGCUUAGGGCACCAUCAUUAUUUUGCCUCCUCCUGCUUGCCUAAUCCCUUACUUUCCUCUGUCCACAAAUGUCACACUGUUUCUAGAAAGCUACACAGAAGAGUAUUUCAACCCUGGUGACCAUACUGCACACAGGUGCAAGAACUGGCCCGGAGGCCCCGGGUAGAAAUGGCAACAGAGCUCUUCUCCAUUACAGGAAUAUCUCCUUCCAAAUCAAAGGGUUCCUGUGGGCACAUCUGUCUUAUGUGGUGAGCUAGGGGAGAUGGGUUGUCUGGGAAGGCCCAGGAGAUCUCCACGUAUUUGUUCUCAGGGCAUGGCUUAUUGCCAGAUCAUAGACAAUCCAUCACAUUUUCCAGGCGCUGCCCAGAGGCAGCACUGAAGCUUCAAUUAAAAAAUCAAGAGAUCACCUCUAUCACUACCAGGUGGAGGCAGGGGUUAAUUUGUCCCUUUGUUGAGACACCUCACCCUCCCCGAAGGUCCCCAACACUUCCUAAAAGCUCAGAAACAGGUAAUGCCCUGAAGUGGACCUCAUAAUUCUGCUUGGUCUGACUGGCAGUUUCAGUCAUCCUUCAAAGCCCCUAAAUAUCUGAAAAGGCCCAUACCCUUCCCCUGGCCACUGCAGAGUGGGGCACAGGGCUCAGCUGAGGGUCUCAAGUACCUAAGCAAUCUAGUUAUCAUUUACUUUAGUGGAUCCCAAACUGAAGGGAGAAGAGAAGAUUACUUCCUUUAAUAACUAUUUUUAUUUUUAUUGUUGCCAAUUAUUAGACUUCUUUUUCCUAUAGCAUGGGAACAAAUGGGGUGGGGGAGACUUUGAAGGGCGAAGCCCUAGUUCUCAGUGUCUGCCUUCCAUUCCCCAUGCAGCUUUGGCCCAAACAGGUUUCCCAGCAGAGUGUGUCUGAGAUAAAGAAGACAAAAGGGGGUGGCCCAACCCGAAGGUUGGCUCUGGUCCUUGGGUCUCGGUCUCUACAGCCGUAGCUCACAGGAAGCCCCCACGCCACAAAGCUCCAACUGCUUCCUAGGGCAGCUCCAUUUCCACUCAGUGCUCAUGUUGGCUCACAUUCCAGGCUUGAGAAGAGCCAUCACCCCAUCCAGCCCUCCUCCCCUACACACCCUUCCAGGCAGUUCUGCGAUGGGACCCAUUCACAGAUCAUUGUUUCUGCUAUAUAUGCCCCCACAGCCCAGCCCAGCCCAUCCACGCAGCCCUAGGGGUACAAUCCAGAUUUUUGGCUUCCGCGAAAAGAAAUCCUUUGCAUGUCCUCUUUGGUUCACCUGGAGAGAUAGGCUCAGCGGCAGAUCACGCUUAAGCUAACGUUUACCGCAGGGCCUGAUGCUCUGAUCUGCUGGAGGCAGGCUAUAGGCAGGGGGUAAGGGGCUCUCUCCCUCGCAGAGCGCAGUGAAGGAUUCUUGGGGGCUGGGAGUCAGGAGUUUUUACCUUGGAAGAGUGCGCCUCACAUCUGUGUGGAUUUUAGGCAGGAGAAGAGCAUCAAGGGUCUCACCAAAGGCUUGCCACUCACUGAGGGAGAGGCCUGGAUUCUGGGACCCCAGGAGAGUCUCUCCAGCAGGGUCUUGGCUCCCCUAUCCUCUUCCCUGCCAAGUCGGCCCUAUGUUCCUACCAGGACCCAGAACUCCGAUCCAGCCACGUCCUUUCCCCUGGGCUUGCAGGCGCUCCCUCUCGCCCCCGCUAGGCCUUAGCGGGCUCCGAAGUCUGCUGGACUGGGGCAAACCCCGCUCUUCUGGGACGGGGACACGGCCUGGGCCACCCGUGGCUGCCGGGACUCCUUUCCAACAGGGCUGGGGAUGGGAGAGUUGGAAAUCAAGAAAGAACCUCUGCCUCCAGUGCACGAGCCCAGAGCCCAGGCUACCAGAACCCGCUUGCAGCAAGGUAACUGUGCGUCCUGUGCCUUCUUGAGGCGGCGGCAGCGAUCGGCCCUGACCAUAGAGGCGGCCGUGGCGCGGAGGACUUGACCUUUACGGCACGAGAGGAGGGCGCUGGCUGAGCCGCAGGGAGGGGGACGCUGCUCUCUCCAGCCUCCUCCACCCAAUAGCAGUCCGCUCGACCCACGCCAGCUGCGCGCUCACCCCCUUUCCCCCUCCAUUUUGUGCAGUGUCCGCAGACCCGCGGCCGGAAACAAAGCCCCCAGCCCUGCUCUCACCACCCUUCUUGCAAGCUGCUGUCGCCAACCCCCCAGACCAGAGGCUCAGAGCUAACGCUAAGCCCCUUAAGGCCCUCUCCAGGGCCCUCUUCUCUCGCCAGCCGCCCUCAGCCAGCUCCUGACCCCAGCCGCCCUCAGCCAGCUCCUGGGUACCACUCUGGGUGCCAACCGGGACCUGCCGGUGCCACGGUCCCGUGCGCCGGGUCCCGGCCUCGGGCUGCGGGCGGCUUCGG
This 7364-nucleotide long non-coding RNA is filed under the name Homo sapiens (human). RNAcentral's name for it is "PREDICTED lncRNA (TCONS_00236047)". The stretch from base 1595 to 1827 matches the Rfam family "HOXA11 antisense RNA 1 conserved region 4". Lineage: Eukaryota; Metazoa; Chordata; Mammalia; Primates; Hominidae. The record is from RNAcentral.